CAGUGGGGAAUAUUGGACAAUGGGGGGAACCCUGAUCCAGCCAUGCCGCGUGUGUGAAGAAGGCCUUUUGGUUGUAAAGCACUUUAAGCGGGGAGGAGGCUACCGAAGUUAAUACCUUUGGAUAGUGGACGUUACCCGCAGAAUAAGCACCGGCUAACUCUGUGCCAGCAGCCGCGGUAAUACAGAGGGUGCAAGCGUUAAUCGGAUUUACUGGGCGUAAAGCGCGCGUAGGCGGCUAAUUAAGUCGGAUGUGAAAUCCCCGAGCUCAACUUGGGAAUUGCAUUCGAUACUGGUUAGCUAGAGUGUAGGAGAGGAUGGUAGAAUUCCAGGUGUAGCGGUGAAAUGCGUAGAGAUCUGGAGGAAUACCGAUGGCGAAGGCAGCCAUCUGGCCUAACACUGACGCUGAGGUGCGAAAGCAUGGGGAGCAAACAGGAUUAGAUACCCUGGUAGUCCAUGCUGUAAACGAUGUCUACUAGCCGUUGGGGUCUUUGAGACUUUAGUGGCGCAGCUAACGCGAUAAGUAGA
This 525-nucleotide ribosomal RNA is filed under the name uncultured Acinetobacter sp. RNAcentral describes it as "bacterial SSU rRNA". It matches the Rfam family "Bacterial small subunit ribosomal RNA", at positions 352 to 868 of the family's 1533-position model. Lineage: Bacteria; Pseudomonadati; Pseudomonadota; Gammaproteobacteria; Moraxellales; Moraxellaceae. The record is from RNAcentral.